AGAGUUUGAUCCUGGCUCAGGACGAACGCUGGCGGCGUGCUUAACACAUGCAAGUCGAACGAGAUCCACGGUGUAGCAAUACACCUGAAGAUCUAGUGGCGAACGGGUGCGUAACACGUGAGGAACUUGUCCCGGUCUCUGGGAUAACAGUUGGAAACGACUGCUAAUACCGGAUGACGUCGGAGCAUCGCAUGGUGCGCUGACGAAAGGGUUACUGGAUCGGGAGAGCCUCGCGGCCUAUCAGCUUGUUGGUGGGGUAACGGCCCACCAAGGCAUCGACGGGUAGCUGGUCUGAGAGGAUGAUCAGCCACACUGGGACUGAGACACGGCCCAGACUCCUACGGGAGGCAGCAGUGGGGAAUCUUGCGCAAUGGGCGAAAGCCUGACGCAGCAACGCCGCGUGCGGGAUGAAGGCUCUCGGGUUGUAAACCGCUUUCAGCAGGAACGAAAAUGACGGUACUGCAGAAGAAGG
RNAcentral lists this ribosomal RNA (472 nucleotides) under uncultured Acidimicrobiales bacterium. RNAcentral's name for it is "bacterial SSU rRNA". It matches the Rfam family "Bacterial small subunit ribosomal RNA", at positions 8 to 491 of the family's 1533-position model. The record is from RNAcentral. Lineage: Bacteria; Bacillati; Actinomycetota; Acidimicrobiia; Acidimicrobiales.